RNAcentral lists this ribosomal RNA (501 nucleotides) under uncultured bacterium. RNAcentral's name for it is "partial 16S ribosomal RNA". It matches the Rfam family "Bacterial small subunit ribosomal RNA", at positions 30 to 523 of the family's 1533-position model. The record is from RNAcentral.
AUUGAACGCUGGCGGCAGGCUUAACACAUGCAAGUCGAGCGGAGAUGAGGUGCUUGCACCUUAUCUUAGCGGCGGACGGGUGAGUAAUGCUUAGGAAUCUGCCUAUUAGUGGGGGACAACAUUCCGAAAGGAAUGCUAAUACCGCAUACGCCCUACGGGGGAAAGCAGGGGAUCUUCGGACCUUGCGCUAAUAGAUGAGCCUAAGUCGGAUUAGCUAGUUGGGGGGGUAAAGGCCUACCAAGGCGACGAUCUGUAGCGGGUCUGAGAGGAUGAUCCGCCACACUGGGACUGAGACGCGGCCCAGACUCCUACGGGAGGCAGCAGUGGGGAAUAUUGGACAAUGGGCGGAAGCCUGAUCCAGCCAUGCCGCGUGUGUGGAGAAGGCCUUUCGGUUGUAAAGCACUUUAAGCGAGGAGGAGGCUACCUGGAUUAAUACUCUAGGAUAGUGGACGUUACUCGCAGAAUAAGCACCGGCUAACUCUGUGCCAGCCGCCGCAGUAA